GAGCGUACACGUUGGGACCCGAAAGAUGGUGAACUAUGCCUGGCCAGGACGAAGUCAGGGGAAACCCUGAUGGAGGUCCGUAGCA
This 85-nucleotide ribosomal RNA is filed under the name Serratella ignita. RNAcentral describes it as "partial 28S ribosomal RNA". It matches the Rfam family "Eukaryotic large subunit ribosomal RNA", at positions 798 to 882 of the family's 3401-position model. The record is from RNAcentral. Lineage: Eukaryota; Metazoa; Arthropoda; Insecta; Ephemeroptera; Ephemerellidae.